AUGCAUGCUUUUACAGUAUGGAAAUUGGUGAUUUAUAAUAACUUGGCAAAUCGCAAAGUGAAAACAGGCGAUAAAUCAUUCAAGUUUCUGACCUAUCAGCUUUCGACGGUAUGGUAUUGGCUUACCGUGGCAGUGACGGUUAACGGGGGAUUAGGGUUCGAUUCCGGAGAGGGAGCCUGAGAAACGGCUACCACAUCUAAGGAAGGCAGCAGGCGCGCAAAUUACCCAAUUCUAACAGUUUGAGAGAGGUAUUAACAAGAAAUAACAAUACAAGGCAAUUAAAAUGCUUUGUAAUUGGAAUGAUAGAAAUUUAAACCCUUUUUAAAGUAUCAAUUGGAGGGCAAGUCUGGUGCCAGCAGCCGCGGUAAUUCCAGCUCCAAUAGCGUAUAUUAAAAUUGUUGCAGUUAAAAAGCUCGUAGUUGAAGUUCUGCUAAAAGUAACCGGUCUGCUUUUAAUAAAAGUGGUAUCUUGGUGUGUAUUUAGCAAUGAUGUCCUUUGAAGUGUUUUUUACUUUAUUGUAAUAAAGCAUAUUCAGGACUUUUACUUUGAGAAAAUUAGACUGUUUCUAGCAGGCCGACGCUUUGAAUUCUGCAGCAUGGAAUAAUAAGAU
This 610-nucleotide ribosomal RNA is filed under the name Hepatozoon sp. Its description in RNAcentral is "SSU rRNA". It matches the Rfam family "Eukaryotic small subunit ribosomal RNA", at positions 224 to 823 of the family's 1831-position model. The record is from RNAcentral. Lineage: Eukaryota; Apicomplexa; Hepatozoidae.